RNAcentral lists this ribosomal RNA (460 nucleotides) under uncultured bacterium. RNAcentral describes it as "partial 16S ribosomal RNA". It matches the Rfam family "Bacterial small subunit ribosomal RNA", at positions 338 to 795 of the family's 1533-position model. The record is from RNAcentral.
CCUACGGGAGGCAGCAGUGAGGAAUAUUGGUCAAUGGACGAGAGUCUGAACCAGCCAAGUAGCGUGAAGGAUGACUGCCCUAUGGGUUGUAAACUUCUUUUAUAUGGGAAUAAAAUGUUCCACGUGUGGGAUUUUGUAUGUACCAUAUGAAUAAGGAUCGGCUAACUCCGUGCCAGCAGCCGCGGUAAUACGGAGGAUCCGAGCGUUAUCCGGAUUUAUUGGGUUUAAAGGGAGCGUAGGUGGAUUGUUAAGUCAGUUGUGAAAGUUUGCGGCUCAACCGUAAAAUUGCAGUUGAAACUGGCAGUCUUGAGUACAGUAGAGGUGUGCGGAAUUCGUGGUGUAGCGGUGAAAUGCUUAGAUAUCACGAAGAACUCAGAUUGCGAAGGCAGUUCACUGGACUGCAACUGACACUGAGGCUCGAAAGUGUGGGUAUCAAACAGGAUUAGAUACCCGAGUAGUC